GGCGUGAAAGCUCCGGGCCCAACCCGGAGAGGUCGUUCAAUACUGCGUGUCUAGAGGGUGUCAGAGGGGAGUGGAAUUUCCGGAGUAGCGGUAAAAUGCGCAGAGAUCGGAAAGAACACCAAUGGCGAAGGCAGCUCCCUGGGGCAUACCUGACGCUAAGAGACGAAAGCUAGGGGAGCGAACAGGAUUAGAGACCCUGGCAGUCCUAGCCCUAAACGAUGGAUGCUGGAUGUGGGGCCAUAGCGCUCCGUGUCGAAGCGGACGCGUUAAGCAUCCCGCCUGGGGACUACGGCCGCAAGGUUAAAACUCAAACGAAUUGACGGGACCCCGCACAAGCAGCGGAGCGUGUGGUUUAAUUCGAUGCUACACGAAGAACCUUACCUGGGUUUGACAUCUAGGUGGUAGCGAAGUGAAAGCGGAGCGACCCUUUGGGGAGCCUAGACAGGUGCUGCAUGGCUGUCGUCAGCUCGUGCCGUGAGGUGUCGGGUUAAGUCCCGUAACGAGCGCAACCCUUGCCCUCCGUUAUACGUGUCAGAGGGGACUGCCGGCGGUAAGCCGGAGGAAGGUGGGGAUGACGUCAAGUCAGCAUGGCCUUUAUAUCCAGGGCUACACACACGCUACAAUGGCCAGUACAAAGGGCAGCGAAGCCGCGAGGUGGAGCGAAUCCCAGCAAAGCUGGUCGUAGUUCGGAUUGCAGGCUGCAACCCGCCUGCAUGAAGCUGGAGUUGCUAGUAACCGCGCGUCAGCCAUAGUGCGGUGAAUACGUUCCCNGGGGUUUGUACACACCGCCCGUCACGUCAUGGGAGUCGAUAACGCCCUGAAGCCGGUGGCCACUAGCUCGGAAGAGAGGGCGCUGUCUAAGGCGGGGUCGGUGACUGGGACGAAGUCGUCACAAG
This 896-nucleotide ribosomal RNA is filed under the name uncultured organism. Its description in RNAcentral is "bacterial SSU rRNA". It matches the Rfam family "Bacterial small subunit ribosomal RNA", at positions 591 to 1495 of the family's 1533-position model. The record is from RNAcentral.